This 497-nucleotide ribosomal RNA is filed under the name uncultured bacterium. RNAcentral describes it as "partial 16S ribosomal RNA". It matches the Rfam family "Bacterial small subunit ribosomal RNA", at positions 28 to 507 of the family's 1533-position model. The record is from RNAcentral.
GAUGAACGCUGGCGGCGUGCCUAAUACAUGCAAGUCGAACGAACAGACGAGGAGCUUGCUCCUCUGACGUUAGCGGCGGACGGGUGAGUAACACGUGGAUAACCUACCUAUAAGACUGGGAUAACUUCGGGAAACCGGAGCUAAUACCGGAUAAUAUAUUGAACCGCAUGGUUCAAUAGUGAAAGACGGUUUUGCUGUCACUUAUAGAUGGAUCCGCGCCGCAUUAGCUAGUUGGUAAGGUAACGGCUUACCAAGGCAACGAUGCGUAGCCGACCUGAGAGGGUGAUCGGCCACACUGGAACUGAGACACGGUCCAGACUCCUACGGGAGGCAGCAGUAGGGAAUCUUCCGCAAUGGGCGAAAACCUGACGGAGCAACGCCGCGUGAGUGAUGAAGGUCUUCGGAUCGUAAAACUCUGUUAUUAGGGAAGAACAAAUGUGUAAGUAACUAUGCACGUCUUGACGGUACCUAAUCAGAAAGCCACGGCUAACUACGUG